This 63-nucleotide transfer RNA is filed under the name Cryptopygus terranovus. RNAcentral describes it as "tRNA-Val". The record is from RNAcentral. Lineage: Eukaryota; Metazoa; Arthropoda; Collembola; Entomobryomorpha; Isotomidae.
UGUAGUGGAGCUUGUAUUUAAGCAAUUCAAUUACAUUGAAUAGAACUUUAAUUAGUGCUAUAA